RNAcentral lists this ribosomal RNA (89 nucleotides) under Atractosteus spatula (alligator gar). The record is from RNAcentral. RNAcentral also lists the same sequence under 1 other name. Lineage: Eukaryota; Metazoa; Chordata; Actinopteri; Semionotiformes; Lepisosteidae.
GCCAGCAGCUAUAUCACCCUGCAAAUCAGGUGUAAGCCUGUCCAGUACCUGGAUGGGAGAUCUCCUGGGAAAGCUAGUUGCUGCUGGAA